CGAAUUAAGAGUGUUCAACGCAGGCACAUUCAAUUUUCUGCCACCGAAUACAUUAGCAUGGGAUAAUGGAAUAGGACCCUGUCCUCCUUUUUUCAGUUGGUUAAUUCAUGAGAGAGGAACAGGGUAAUGAUUAAUAGGGAUAGUUGGGGGCAUUAAUAUUUAAUUGUCAGAGGUGAAAUUCUUGGAUUUAUGAGAGAUUAACUUCUGCGAAAGCAUCUGCCAAGGAUGUUUUCAUUACUCAAGAACGAAAGUUAGGGGAUCGAAGACGAUCAGAUACCGUCGUAGUCUUAACCAUAAACGAUGCCAACCAGCGGUUAGGAGACGUUGAAGACCAAACACCUCUAUAUAUAAUUCAGUAUAUGGCUAGCAGUGGCUGUAUAUUGUUUGUGUAUAGUUACCGUGAAUGACUCCCCUAACCGAUUGUGAGAAAAAAGG
Molecule: ribosomal RNA, 435 nt
Filed under: Acanthamoeba sp. TW119
Lineage: Eukaryota; Discosea; Longamoebia; Acanthamoebidae
Description: bacterial SSU rRNA
Rfam family: Eukaryotic small subunit ribosomal RNA (bases 1-365)
Source: RNAcentral